RNAcentral lists this ribosomal RNA (425 nucleotides) under uncultured bacterium. Its description in RNAcentral is "partial 16S ribosomal RNA". It matches the Rfam family "Bacterial small subunit ribosomal RNA", at positions 354 to 796 of the family's 1533-position model. The record is from RNAcentral.
GUGGGGAAUAUUGCACAAUGGAGGAAACUCUGAUGCAGCGACGCCGCGUGAGCGAAGAAGUAUUUCGGUAUGUAAAGCUCUAUCAGCAGGGAAGAUAAUGACGGUACCUGACUAAGAAGCUCCGGCUAAAUACGUGCCAGCAGCCGCGGUAAUACGUAUGGAGCAAGCGUUAUCCGGAUUUACUGGGUGUAAAGGGAGCGCAGGCGGCAGGGCAAGUCUGAUGUGAAAGCCCGGGGCUCAACCCCGGCACUGCAUUGGAAACUGUCCGGCUAGAGUGUCGGAGGGGUAAGUGGAAUUCCUAGUGUAGCGGUGAAAUGCGUAGAUAUUAGGAGGAACACCAGUGGCGAAGGCGGCUUACUGGACGACAACUGACGCUGAGGCUCGAAAGCGUGGGGAGCAAACAGGAUUAGAUACCCCAGUAGUCC